GUUGGAAUAGCUUAGUUGGUUAGAGCGUGUGGCUGUUAAUCACAAGAUCGAAGGUUUAAACCCUUCUUCUAGCG
Molecule: non-coding RNA, 74 nt
Organism: Nelumbo nucifera (sacred lotus)
Lineage: Eukaryota; Viridiplantae; Streptophyta; Magnoliopsida; Proteales; Nelumbonaceae
Source: Rfam